GUCUCUCUCUGUUGCCCAGGCUGGAGUGCAGUGGCAUGAUCAUAGCUCACUGAAGCCUUGAACCCCUGGCCUCAAGCAGUCGUCCCCCUCGGCCUCCCAAACUCCUGGGAUUAUAGGCAUGAGCCAUUGCGUCCUGCCCAAAAGUACUGCAGAAGGUAGAGAACAACAGUCUUCUGACCAUCUGCCAUUUCCCCGUCCGCAGCCAACUCUUCUAUUCCGACUUCGCAUCUGAGGACUGUCCUUUUCCUGAGGUGUUUGACAUUAAGCAUGUGAUUACGAGACAGUCUCCAGAAAUUACAUUUCUUUCUCUAGUGUAGCAAAUGAAUGAACAUCUUUAAUCCUCAGUUUUCAAAUCUGUAAAGUGAGUGCAAUAAUAAUACUUAUCUCAUAGGGUCCUUGCCAAGGUUAAAAUGAGAUAACCAUAUGAGAAUCACUUAGUGUGAUGCCUGGUGCUGAAAACAACUAGCUAUUACUACCACUGCUAAUAUUAUUAGUAGCUGUGGGCAAAAGGAUUCUUGCAUUCAGCCUGGUGACGCUGCUCUAGCCACCUAGACUGACUUGUGUUUAAGGCAGAAAACCAAAACCUGUGGACAGCUGCCUGCUGAGUGUUCACGAGCUGUGGCUGCUCCAGGCCCAGGAGCUGAGGGCUAUGCAGUGCUCAGUAGGCAGCUUCUCCCAUCGUGGCGACAGAACUGCUGGAAAGAGUGUCCCCUUGGGACUAGGAAGCCCUAAGUGAUGAACUGCCGGUGAGUGGCACUUUAUUUGCACCUGAGUCUCCAGAAGAGCUAAGGGACCCUGGAGUUACCUGAAGUCCCCACAGCAUGGGCAGAAGUGAGAAUAAUUUGAAACCAAGUGGACUGAUGGACCAGGCUCCGACUGAACCUCUACAUUUCCUUCCUGCAAUGAGUGAUGCUCCCUGUUCCAGCCUGUUAGGCUUCCACUGUUACAAAAUGAGAUAGAAUUCACAUAGCAUCAAUUUACCCUUCAAAAAUGUAUGAGUCAGUGGUUUUUAGUAUCGCACAAGGUUAUGCAACCAUCUGUUAUGCAAUGGUUAUGCAAUACUGAUGUAUUGAAAUCUUAACAUUUUCAUCCCCCAAGUCUGCAAUUUGAUUGGAUUCAGUAAAUGUUUACUGGAAGUUUCUUGUGUAAAAUCCCACGUAUUGUAGUUAGUGUGCUCCUUGGAGUUUGGCUGGCCCAGCUCCAUGCUGGCUCACUUUUUUUGGUCCACGUCUGCAACUGAGCCACACUCCCUCCCUCUGGCUUGACACAUUAACAUUGAACUGGGACAUUGGUGAACUGGGACUGUCUUGAUCAAUGACCACCAUUUCUUGGGCUCUCCCAGUAGCAGGCACUGUGCUAAGCCCUCUGUGUGCAUUCUCUCUUAUUAUCUAAUUUUACAAGAAAGCCUAGAACUGAGGUCUUCUGGCUUCCACUCUCAUAUUCUUGUGGCUGGGCACAGUGACUCAAGCCUGUAAUCCCAGCACUUUGGGAGGCCAGAGUAGAAGGAUCACUUGAGCCCA
Molecule: long non-coding RNA, 1520 nt
Filed under: Homo sapiens (human)
Lineage: Eukaryota; Metazoa; Chordata; Mammalia; Primates; Hominidae
Description: HSALNT0133113
Source: RNAcentral